CAGGCGACGCAGGGGAGUGGGGGUGGCAGGCACAGGGGACAGGUGACUGCAAGGUUGCAAAGAGCACAGUCCCGGCAGCCCCUGGGGGUUGGUGGGAUGUUCGGGGGACACUGAAGUCUCUCUGGGGCCACCUACACCUGGACUAACCAGGGACUCCACAAGGGUUUGGGUGGAUCUGUCAGAACGUGGAGAGAUGAGAACAAUUACUUUUAGUUCAGUCGCAGAAGGUUGGGAGGCAUUUAUGGUGCAUCUGAUAGAAGAUUCCAGAGAUGGAGGAUACUCACACAGCUAGAUAGGUUCAGGGGUGAGGGACUUCAGAGAGUACCAAUGUCACGAGGUGCCUGCGGACUCGCAGCAGCCCCUUCAGGCAGGUGUCAAGGAGGAGUUUCUUUACUUGAGAAUGGGAACAAGAAGGCCUGUCACGCAGGGUGACGUGAGGACUGUGAGCAAAUACAGAAAGUCCAUAACCAGCGCUCAGUAAGUGAACUAACGUCACCCAAGGAUGAGGAAACUGAGGAUUAGGGGCUGUGCCGCAGGUCCCACAGCCAGGACCUCGCCCAGCAGGCCCUCGGCCUCCUCCGAAGGCCUGCCACGAGCCGGCAGUGGCCACAGCACCCGCGGAACGAGACUAUGGGUGCACAUUCCCCAAAGUCUGGAGACAAGACACAACAGCCCCAAGUCCCAGGCUCUGCAAGAAGAGGCUCAAAGCACUGGAGAGACCUCUGAGGAGGACGUCUCAGCCCUGAUGCUGACGGAAAGGCGCGUCUGGGAUUUGAGGACGUGCGCGUGGAUGUGAGGAACUGGUGGGGGAUGGUGGAUUCUGGACACUAUGACCUGAAAGGUGUUCCCCAGAGAAUUCUAAAACAAACCGGCAGCUGCUGCAGAACGAUUCCUGGACACCUGGAGAAACACAGGCGCAAAGUCAACACAACAAGGAAACAUUUAUUUUGCUGGGGAGUUACUGAGAAACGUGAACCCUUCAACUCCAGACACUGACGUGCGGCGCUCAGCUUUCAGGGAGUGCCACUGCUGCUGCCAAGUUCGCCGCUGCUUCUCUACGUUCCACGCCAUCGUCUCAGUUCAGAUGUACAUGUAUUAUGCCCAUUACUAGAGCUUCAACAACAAAUCAAAAGAAAACCCAAUAAAGGAUGACAAGUGUAACAAAAACAGAGUUUCUGAGGAAGCAAAAACGAGAAUUAGGAGCCACAGGUGACUCUGAACGUAAAUUAUUCACCAAGAUCACAAAACUAAAACAAUAACAUAGGAGAAAGACCAACAACAUCUUUAAGAGACUCGAAUCUUUUCUUUCUGCUCUAACAUCUGAAUGGCAGUUCUCUGACCUCAACACACAGCGGGCACCGGGAGUGGUGAUUGUCUCAUUGGCCUGAUUGUCCUUGGCCUCAAAAGGAGAUCUGAGAGCAAGACAACUGAAGGCAGCAAGCAGUCAAUUCAACGUCGCAGCUGAGAGCUGAUGCUCAGGACCUGAAAUCCCAUCAGUGUGACUUUGGAAGUUAUUUCACUAUUUCCACUGCUUUGUAAUGCCAAGGAUCUGAUCUCUAAAGAUAACUUAUCUAGUGACACUCUAAUCC
Long non-coding RNA from Lemur catta (Ring-tailed lemur), 1589 nucleotides. RefSeq lists it as uncharacterized. The record is from RefSeq and is a predicted model, not a curated record. The transcript has 5 exons. NCBI's taxonomy places the organism in Eukaryota, Metazoa, Chordata, Mammalia, Primates, Lemuridae.